GACGAACGCUGGCGGCGUGCUUAACACAUGCAAGUCGAACGGAAAGGCCCUGCUUUUGUGGGGUGCUCGAGUGGCGAACGGGUGAGUAACACGUGAGUAACCUGCCCUUGACUUUGGGAUAACUUCAGGAAACUGGGGCUAAUACCGGAUAGGAGCUCCUGCUGCAUGGUGGGGGUUGGAAAGUUUCGGCGGUUGGGGAUGGACUCGCGGCUUAUCAGCUUGUUGGUGGGGUAGUGGCUUACCAAGGCUUUGACGGGUAGCCGGCCUGAGAGGGUGACCGGCCACAUUGGGACUGAGAUACGGCCCAGACUCCUACGGGAGGCAGCAGUGGGGAAUAUUGCACAAUGGGCGGAAGCCUGAUGCAGCAACGCCGCGUGCGGGAUGACGGCCUUCGGGUUGUAAACCGCUUUCGCCUGUGACGAAGCGUGAGUGACGGUAAUGGGUAAAGAAGCACCGGCUAACUACGUGCCAGCAGCCGCGGUGAUACGUAGGGUGCGAGCGUUGUCCGGAUUUAUUGGGCGUAAAGGGCUCGUAGGUGGUUGAUCGCGUCGGAAGUGUAAUCUUGGGGCUUAACCCUGAGCGUGCUUUCGAUACGGGUUGACUUGAGGAAGGUAGGGGAGAAUGGAAUUCCUGGUGGAGCGGUGGAAUGCGCAGAUAUCAGGAGGAACACCAGUGGCGAAGGCGGUUCUCUGGGCCUUUCCUGACGCUGAGGAGCGAAAACGUGGGGAGCGAACAGGCUUAGAUACCCUGGUAGUCCACGCUGUAAACGGUGGGUACUAGGUGUGGGGUCCAUUCCACGGGUUCCGUGCCGUAGCUAACGCUUUAAGUACCCCGCCUGGGGAGUACGGCCGCAAGGCUAAAACUCAAAGGAAUUGACGGGGCCCCGCACAAGCGGCGGAGCAUGCGGAUUAAUUCGAUGCAACGCGUAGAACCUUACCUGGGUUUGACAUGGAUCGGGAGUGCUCAGAGAUGGGUGUGCCUCUUUUGGGGUCGGUUCACAGGUGGUGCAUGGCUGUCGUCAGCUCGUGUCGUGAGAUGUUGGGUUAAGUCCCGCAACGAGCGCAACCCUUGUUCACUGUUGCCAGCACGUUAUGGUGGGGACUCAGUGGAGACCGCCGGGGUCAACUCGGAGGAAGGUGGGGAUGACGUCAAGUCAUCAUGCCCCUUAUGUCCAGGGCUUCACGCAUGCUACAAUGGCUGGUACAGAGAGUGGCGAGCCUGUGAGGGUGUGCGAAUCUCGGAAAGCCGGUCUCAGUUCGGAUUGGGGUCUGCAACUCGACCUCAUGAAGUCGGAGUCGCUAGUAAUCGCAGAUCAGCAACGCUGCGGUGAAUACGUUCCCGGGGCU
Molecule: ribosomal RNA, 1346 nt
Filed under: uncultured bacterium
Lineage: Bacteria
Description: partial 16S ribosomal RNA
Rfam family: Bacterial small subunit ribosomal RNA
Source: RNAcentral